AUACGUAGGGUGCGAGCGUUAAUCGGAAUUACUGGGCGUAAAGCGUGCGCAGGUGGUUUUGUAAGUCAGAUGUGAAAUCCCCGGGCUUAACCUGGGAACUGCGUUUGAAACUGCAAGGCUAGAGUGUGGCAGAGGGGGGUGGAAUUCCGCGUGUAGCAGUGAAAUGCGUAGAGAUGUGGAGGAACACCGAUGGCGAAGGCAGCCCCCUGGGUCAACACUGACGCUCAGGCACGAAAGCAUGGGGAGCAAACAGGAGUAGAUACCCGGGUAGUCC
Molecule: ribosomal RNA, 274 nt
Filed under: uncultured bacterium
Lineage: Bacteria
Description: partial 16S ribosomal RNA
Rfam family: Bacterial small subunit ribosomal RNA
Source: RNAcentral